This 776-nucleotide ribosomal RNA is filed under the name uncultured bacterium. RNAcentral's name for it is "bacterial SSU rRNA". It matches the Rfam family "Bacterial small subunit ribosomal RNA", at positions 132 to 895 of the family's 1533-position model. The record is from RNAcentral.
UUGAGAGUGGGGAUAUCAUGUCGAACGGCCUGCUAAUACCGCAUAACGCUAAGAAGCUGCAUGGCGUCUUAGCCAAAGGUUAAUUCCGCUCAAGGAUGGGCCCGCGGCCCCAUUAGCUAGUUGGUGAGGUAAUGGCUCACCAAGGGCGACGGGUGGGGGUAGCCGGGCCUGGAGAGGGGUGGGUCGGGCCCACACUGGGGACUCGAAGAACACGGCCCCAGAACUCCUACGGGAGGCAGCAGUGGGGGAAAUAUUUGCGCAAUGGGGGGAAACCCUUGACGCAGCGACGCCCGCGUGAGCGAUGAAGGCCUUCGGGUUGUAAAGCUCUGUCUUCCCUGACGAUAAUGACGGUAAGGGAGGAGGAAGCCACGGCUAACUACGUGCCAGCAGCCGCGGUAAUACGUAGGUGGGCGAGCGUUGUCCGGAAUUACUGGGCGUAAAAGGGUGCGUAGGCGGCUCUUUUAAGUGGGGAUGUGAAAAUCCCCUGGGGCUCAACCCCAGGAACUGCAUUCCAAACUGGAGAGCUAGAGUGCAGGAGAGGAAAGCGGAAUUCCCAGUCUAGCGGUGAAAUGCGUAGUGAUUGGGAGGAACACCAGUGGCGAAGGCGGCUUUCUGGUCCCCUCCGACGCUGAGGCAUGAAAGCGCGGGAGCACACAGGAUUAGAUACCCUGGUAGUGCACGCUGUAAACCGAUGGGUACUAGGUGUAGGGGGCGAAGCCCUCUGUGCCGCAGCUAACGCAUUAAGUACCCCGCCUGGGGAGUACGGUCGCAAGAUU